CUUAUUUCAUUACGAGCCUAUGCAAUAAAAUUGUCUGAUUUCUAGGGAUUUCUAUUCCCUUCCCUCUUCACUGUUUAGCUGUUCAUUGCCAUUUCAACCCUAUUUUACCAUCUCAAUCCAAAAGUUAUUUCAGCAAACUGUUUCACAUCUUCUUCACAAUUUCCAGCAAAGUCAAUGCUCCGAUUAUUCAGCCCUUCAAGUUCUCUCUUUGCAUCUUUUGUCGGCUCUACCGUCUCAGAUCAUCGGCCCAACUGUUCCGCUCACUCUCUUAUUGGGCUGAUUGAAGUCCAAGUGCUUCUUCACUUUAUCGGCGGCUAUUUUUAGGUUAUAUUUUCUUUUAUUCUAUACUUUUUUUUGUAUUUUCUUUGAUUUUUCUCUUCGUCUUUGAUACUUGUAGCUUUACGGAUUUUUCUUUGAUUCUCUUUGAUUUUUCUUUGAUCGAAGUCCAACUAUUUCGUUCACUCUCUUAUUGUAUUUUCUUUGAUUUUCCUCUUCGUCUUUUGUUCUUCAAAUUUGUCUCAUUUUCUUGGGUUGAAUCUUCAUUCAAAACAUUUAUGUGCUUUGUUUUUGUUAGCUUUGAUUUUGUAUUUUGGGUUUUUUUUUCAACAUUACAAUGUAUUAAUUUUUAAACUGGCUAGAUUUUGGAAGUCUUGCAUCUAUGAUGUAUGGGUAAAAUAAUAAAUAUGGUAGAUGCAUAGAAUUUAAGCAAUAAAUUUAGUGACAAUAGAGGAUUUUUCAUACCCUAGCUGUGAAUCAAUUUAAUUUACCAAUUUAAAAAACUUUCUUCAUAUCAUUUUUGCUUCCAAGAAAAGUAAAAGAAGAAGAAGAAGAAUGAUGAUCACAUUGCAUUGUUGAUUGUUUUGAAUCAACAUUGGUUUAAAUCGGAAGGAACCUUGAAAUUUGAUCUAACUUGAUGGAAAUUUCCAAUUGCACUGUUGGUGGUAUGUUUGUUUAUGGACUUGUUUUCCUUUUUUUUCUUCUGGGUUUUGACUGAAAAUGACCUAAAAUUUAGGAUUGAGAUGUUUCCAGGAUACUUCAGCUCAUAUGGCAGAUGCCUUGCAUUUUUUGCAUUUCUAAUUUCACCUUUCUUUGGUGCUUCAUUCAUGCAUUCAUUCAUUUGUCUUUUUCUUUCCUUUUCUGAUGUGGUGUUUCUUGUUUAUGGAUUUGAGCAUAAAAUGUUCUGAUUAAUCUAAUAACAUUAUGUAAAAUCAUAUAAAAAAAUUAAACAAAGAGCUAAAGAGCUGAAAAGUUGAUGUUGGAGAUAGGGAACCAAUCAUAUGCAUCUUUGUAGCUAUUGCCAAUGCCAUCCAGUGAGCUGAUGAGAUGGUUUUCUGCUAUAUUUUUUUUUAAUUCACAAACUUAUCAGGUUUUUGUGAUUGAGGUUUAAAUGGGGUAUACCAAAUUUUGGGUCAUAAUUAUUAUGAUAUGCAAACAAAAUGGUUCCAAAUUCUAAUUGAAGAAAGCUUGGUGAAGUUGGUAUAUAUAUUAUUUUCCAAUAAGAUAAAGAGAGAACAAAUUCAAUUAAGAAGACGAGGAGAAAUAGGGUACAUUAAUGAUCCCAAAUGAUAAAAAGGAGGAAAGUUCCUUUAUGUAACAUUGGAAACUAGGAAGUAUAGAGGUAACUGUUUAAAUGGUUCAUUCUCUAUUUACUCAACUCAAACCAGGAAGUAUACAUUACGAAAAUGUGACAUGGCCAUCAAAAGUCUAAUAGACAUGAAAACAAUGAAAUAAACACAAUAUUACAUUUUCAAACACACUAACAUGACACAGUUAAUCCAUGUAUCAUAUUUGUGUUUAUGAUUUAACACAUAAGGUUCUUCUUUUCUAAUUCCAAGUUUGUUGUUUAUGAUUUAAUACCUUGUUCUGCAAUUUUGCUUUCUUUUAUCAUUUGGAGCUUUAAUAUUUUAACACAACUGAUGUCAAUUUCUUGUUUUGUUAAUAUUUUUAUUAUUUAUUGAUGCAGGCGGACAGACAAUUAUCAGGUAACUUUCACAAACAUGCAUUGUUUUUAUAUUCCUUCAUUAUUUACUAAUAUAUCUGCUGCCCUGUUUUUAUAUGGCUAGAUUUUAUAACUAUUGUUAACAAUCCCAUGGCUAAUAAGUGAAUUUCUAUUUUCUUUUUACCUUUAGAACAAACUAACUUUGGGUCUAUAAUAGCAUUUCAAUGUUGUAUUCAUGGGAUGCCACUAUUUGUUGUAAGUUGGUUAUGUGUUCAACUUUGGAAAGAUGAAAUUUGUUAAUGGAAAAGGAGGCUGCCAAGGUAAAGAGCGGCACACCCUCGUAGGCUGCCAAAUGCCAAGAUUCAACAACAACAAAAAAAAUGAACGAGGAAAACGGACAUAAACAAAUAUCUCCGCUAGAAUGAUGAUACCAUUACUCUUUUCUAGUAAUACGGGAAAGACAAUAUAUACAUGUUAAACUACAUUUACAAUUCGGAUAUGAUCUUUUUACUUUAAACAAGAACAUUUUGGUUAUAUUUAAUUUUCGAUAUAUUUUUAUUUUUUAUAUGUUUCAUUUAAAACUAUUUUAACCUUUUAAUAUAUUAUUAAACUAUUUUUAUUUUCGAUAUCUUUAAUUUAUGUUAUAUUUAAUUUUGGUCUUAAAACAAUGUUUUAUAUUACUUAUAUUGUUUGAUUAAAAAUUAUAAUUAACACUACAAAAAUUAUCUCAACAAACGAAACAAAAAAAAAAGUAAGUAAAAUGCUACAAACAAGUCAUGUUAUGGUAAGAAUGUAAUGUAUAUGGAGUUUUAGAUUUUACUUAAAUAAAAAUAAUAAUCGAAUAUUUUAAAAUACAUAAUUUUUAAGAUAUUUAACACACCAUAAUGAUCAAAUGGGUAUUUUUUAAAAAAAUAAUUAUUAAACGUCAGUUAUCAAUUAAUUAAAUCCACAAAAACACAUUAUUUUCUUUUCUUUCUUUUUUCUUUCUUUUU
Molecule: long non-coding RNA, 2931 nt
Filed under: Gossypium barbadense (sea-island cotton)
Lineage: Eukaryota; Viridiplantae; Streptophyta; Magnoliopsida; Malvales; Malvaceae
Description: long non-coding RNA (GBAR_LNC015043)
Source: RNAcentral